Molecule: ribosomal RNA, 497 nt
Filed under: uncultured bacterium
Lineage: Bacteria
Description: partial 16S ribosomal RNA
Rfam family: Bacterial small subunit ribosomal RNA
Source: RNAcentral
GACGAACGCUGGCGGCGUGCCUAAUACAUGCAAGUUGAGCGCUGAAGGUUGGUACUUGUACCAACUGGAUGAGCAGCGAACGGGUGAGUAACGCGUGGGGAAUCUGCCUUUGAGCGGGGGACAACAUUUGGAAACGAAUGCUAAUACCGCAUAAAGACUUUAAACACAAGUUUUAAGUUUGAAAGAUGCAAUUGCAUCACUCAAAGAUGAUCCCGCGUUGUAUUAGCUAGUUGGUGAGGUAAAGGCUCACCAAGGCGAUGAUACAUAGCCGACCUGAGAGGGUGAUCGGCCACAUUGGGACUGAGACCCGGCCCAAACUCCUACGGGAGGCAGCAGUAGGGAAUCUUCGGCAAUGGACGAAAGUCUGACCGAGCAACGCCGCGUGAGUGAAGAAGGUUUUCGGAUCGUAAAACUCUGUUGGUAGAGAAGAACGUUGGUGAGAGUGGAAAGCUCAUCAAGUGACGGUAACUACCCAGAAAGGGACGGCUAACUACGUG